Eurytemora carolleeae is the source of this 216-nucleotide long non-coding RNA. RefSeq lists it as uncharacterized. The transcript is spliced from 2 exons. The record is from RefSeq and is a predicted model, not a curated record. NCBI's taxonomy places the organism in Eukaryota, Metazoa, Arthropoda, Copepoda, Calanoida, Temoridae.
GCCGCAACAGCUUACAAACUUAAACUAUUUAUUACGCUGCGACGCGUUGCGAAACAAAGCAGCAUAGUAAAAAAGGAUUAGUUAAGCGCCUAGCUCACGCACACAGUAAUCGUAUCUGCUUCAUCAACAGAAAGCAGUUGACGGAGAAUACGGAGAGGACGAGAAAUUAGUACAAAGUGCCCUUUAGAGUCAAAUUCAAUUUAAUCCAUUUUAAAC